RNAcentral lists this ribosomal RNA (254 nucleotides) under uncultured bacterium. RNAcentral describes it as "partial 16S ribosomal RNA". It matches the Rfam family "Bacterial small subunit ribosomal RNA", at positions 524 to 776 of the family's 1533-position model. The record is from RNAcentral.
UACGUAGGGUGCGAGCGUUGUCCGGAAUUAUUGGGCGUAAAGAGCUCGUAGGCGGUGUGUCGCGUCGGCCGUGAAAACCUGGGGCUUAACUCUGGGCUUGCGGUCGAUACGGGCAUCACUGGAGUUCGGCAGGGGAGACUGGAAUUCCUGGUGUAGCGGUGAAAUGCGCAGAUAUCAGGAGGAACACCAGUGGCGAAGGCGGGUCUCUGGGCCGAUACUGACGCUGAGGAGCGAAAGCGUGGGGAGCAAACAGG